RNAcentral lists this ribosomal RNA (114 nucleotides) under Zingiber officinale. The record is from RNAcentral. Lineage: Eukaryota; Viridiplantae; Streptophyta; Magnoliopsida; Zingiberales; Zingiberaceae.
GCGAUCAUACCAGCACUAAUGCACCGGAUCCCAUCAGAACUCCGAAGUUAAGCGUGCUUGGGCGAGAGCAGUUUUCCCUUGGCUGCCCUCUUCCGAACUCCUCGUGUUGCACCU